UAGUAGAGACGGGGUUUCACUGUGUUAGCCAGGACGGUCUCGAUUUCCUGACCUCGUGAUCCGCCCGCCUCGGCCUCCCAAAGUGCUGGGAUUACAGGCGUGAGCCACCGCGCCUGGCCUAUUAAAUCCUCUUUAAGGUGGAAUAUAAUUGACAAGCCGACAUCAGUCUCCAGAGUGAAUCCAAGGAGUGGACCCAAGACAUUUGUGUUCUGUGAUGUGGUGGCAUGUUACCUGUCAUCUCCGAUGCAUAACUCCUAAAGUGCGUCUGGGGCAGUUGUACAGAUUGCAGAGGAUAAUACUCAAGAUGUUCUCCAAGGCCAACUAGUCAUCAGUUUAUUCAUAGCUCCCAAGAUGGUGGUGGGCCACUUCCAAGAUGGUGGCAAGAGUCGUAUUCUCUGACCUGGGGUUCUUGGUCUCAUGGAUUCCAAGGAAUGGAAUCUUGCGCCAUGUGGAGAAGCGUCAGAUAAUUAGGCAGCAGUCCAACAAUUAGGUUUUGUGGAACUUUUACUAUGUCAUCUAUUUAUUGGAAUUCCCCCUGGAUACCAGGACCCCCUCCAGCAGAGCUUAAAGUUAUAGUUACAGGAAGUACAAAUUCCUUAUGUGGAUCCCUGGAAGUGUGAUGAGAAGAACCACUGUUUCCAAGAUCUAUUUAUUCUAUUUAUCAGGCCUAUAAAAUCAUGUAAUGGCCAUGGCUUCAACUAGACUCCACAUCUUGAAUCACAGAACUCAACGAAUGGCAUCAACUACAAGCUGGUAUUCUGCUAUACAUUUAAGAGGCCAUUUUAAUAUUCUAUUAGUCUAGCAGCUUCUAAGUGAUGAGGGAUAUGGGGGGACUGGAGGAUCCCGUGCUCACUUCCUUUUCUGUAAAAGGAGCUCUUUGAUCCAAGGUGACAUGGUAUGGGAUCCAAUGACAAUAAAUCAGUUAUUCUGUGAACCCUGAUCAAAA
Molecule: long non-coding RNA, 946 nt
Filed under: Homo sapiens (human)
Lineage: Eukaryota; Metazoa; Chordata; Mammalia; Primates; Hominidae
Description: long intergenic non-protein coding RNA 1320
Source: RNAcentral